This 489-nucleotide ribosomal RNA is filed under the name uncultured bacterium. RNAcentral describes it as "partial 16S ribosomal RNA". It matches the Rfam family "Bacterial small subunit ribosomal RNA", at positions 28 to 507 of the family's 1533-position model. The record is from RNAcentral.
GAUGAACGCUAGCGGCAGGCUUAAUACAUGCAAGUCGUGGGGCAGCAGGCCUGUAGCAAUACAGUUGCUGGCGACCGGCAAACGGGUGCGGCACACGUACGCAACUUACCCUGUACUGGGGGAUAGCCCGGGGUAACCCGGAUUAAUACUCCGUAAUAUAAUGGAGUGGCAUCACUUUAUUAUUAAAGCUCCGGCGGUUCGGGAUGGGCGUGCGUCUGCUUAGGUAGUUGGUUGAGGUAACGGCUCACCAAGCCUACGAUCAGUAACUGGUGUGAGAGCACGACGAGUCACACGGGCACUGAGACACGUGCCCGACUCCUACGGGAGGCAGCAGUAAGGAAUAUUGGGCAGUGGAGUCAACUCUGACCCAGCCAUGCCGCGUGGAGGAUGAAGGCGCUCGGGGUUGUAAACUUCUUGUAUAGGGGACGAAACCUGUGUAUUCUUACGCAGUUGACGGUACCCGAGGAAUAAGCACCGGCUAACUCCGUG